Molecule: ribosomal RNA, 515 nt
Filed under: uncultured bacterium
Lineage: Bacteria
Description: partial 16S ribosomal RNA
Rfam family: Bacterial small subunit ribosomal RNA
Source: RNAcentral
GAUGAACGCUGGCGGCGUGCCUAAUACAUGCAAGUCGAGCGAAUGGAUUAAGAGCUUGCUCUUAUGAAGUUAGCGGCGGACGGGUGAGUAACACGUGGGUAACCUGCCCAUAAGACUGGGAUAACUCCGGGAAACCGGGGCUAAUACCGGAUAACAUUUUGAACCGCAUGGUUCGAAAUUGAAAGGCGGCUUCGGCUGUCACUUAUGGAUGGACCCGCGUCGCAUUAGCUAGUUGGGGAGGUCACGGCUCACCAAGGCAACGAUGCGUAGCCGACCUGAGAGGGUGAUCGGCCACACUGGGACUGAGACACGGCCCAGACUCCUACGGGAGGCAGCAGUAGGGAAUCUUCCGCAAUGGACGAAAGUCUGACGGAGCAACGCCGCGUGAGUGAUGAAGGCUUUCGGGUCGUAAAUCUCUGUUGUUAGGGAAGAACAAGUGCUAGUUGAAUAAGCUGACACCUUGACGGUACCUAACCAGAAAGCCACGGCUAACUACGUGCCAGCCGCCGCGGUAA